This is a long non-coding RNA of Nicotiana tabacum (common tobacco), 1751 nucleotides long. RefSeq lists it as uncharacterized. The record is from RefSeq and is a predicted model, not a curated record. NCBI's taxonomy places the organism in Eukaryota, Viridiplantae, Streptophyta, Magnoliopsida, Solanales, Solanaceae.
AAUGGAGAUAUUCUCAUUUUUUCUCAUCCGGACCUUGAGAUCUCUUUCUAGAAUCUUCUUUGUUUUUCCUCCAUUUAUGAUAUUACAGAGCUUUACUUGGCUUCUUGUUAUGGUAUCAGAACACAGGAAUCUAAAUCAAAGCUUGUUAUAACUCUCGAAUCUGUUAGUAUUUGAUUGUGAUUCGAUUCUGACAAACUAGGAUUUACUGCUUGCAAACAUCGGCAAUUUGCUUCACUUGAAUUUGUCGUUCAUGGCGCUUGAAGAGAAAAUUUUUGCAAACCUAGUACGGGAACGUCUAGUGCAGGAACGAGCAUAGAUCACCAUCACCCGUUGUAUCUACAGCCAUGCAAUACUCCGGGUAGCUCCUUGAAUUCUAUUAAGCUAACUGGAUUUGAAAAUUACGCAUUGUGGAGUUGGUAAAAGCAAGCUAGGUUUCGUCGAUAGAAGAUGUACUACGGAUAAAUUUGAUUUCUCUUUACAUAAAUUAUGGGAGAAAUAUAAUGCGAUAGUACUUUCGUGGAUUAUGAAUGUUGUUUGCCCAUGAUUGCUUAGUAGAAUUGUGUACAAGUUAAGUGCUCAUAAGAUAUGGAUAGAUCUCAAAGAUAGACAUGACAAAGUGGAUGGAUCUCGCAUCUUCUACUUGCACAAAGAAAUUUCCACUUUAUCUCAGGGAACCUCCUCUGUCUCAAUUUAUUUUUCAAAUAUGGCAGAUCUCUGGGAGGAAUUUGAUUCCUUAAUGCCUUGUUCGGGUUGUGAUUGUCCAGAAUCCAAAAGCUAUGCUGAACAUUGAGUAUCAACGAUUGUUACAAUUUCUAAUGGGACUUAAUGAGUUAUAUACUCAGGCUAGGAGUAAAAUUCCGAUGAUGAGUAAUUAAGGCUUACUUGAUGAUCAUUUCAGAAGAAAGCUAGAGGUCCUUGGGGAAAUUCAUUCAUAUAGUAGAGAAAGUUGACGGAACUUCAUUGUUCACUAAUAAAUGAGGUGUUAAUCCAUGAGGUACCUACAAACCGAGGAGAUAUAAUCAAUAUUGUGACUUUUGUAAUUACAAAGGUCGCACAAGGGAGACUUGUUACAUGUUACAUGGAUACCCUGCAGAUUUCAAGACAAAAAAGAGGACAACUGGAUUUCAUCAAUGACCUGUGGCUAAUGUAGUAGCACAUGAAGGGCAACGAAUGAUCAAUAGGCAUGUGGCUAAUGCAAUAGCACAGGAAGGGCAUUUGUUGAUGAACAAAUGUAUGUGAUUAGAUCUUGAAAUUGAUUAACAAGGAUAAUCAAGGUGAUCAAAUUAAAGACUUUGCAGGGCCUUCACACCGGGAAGGUGAAAGGGAUUAGUAAGAAAUAUGAUGAAUUCUACAGCUUGCAGCUACAUAAAGUCAAGUUAAAAGUUGCAGCUGUGCAGUUAUCUGGAGAAACUUUGAAAGAAGAAGAUUUGGAGGUUUGGCAUGAAAGCCUUGGCCAUGCUCCUGACAAAGUAUUGAAGUUGAUUCCAAAUAUAAAGUUCAAGACAAAUAAUAGUAGAAUAAAGGAAUGCACAAUCUGUCCUCUGGCUAGAUAGGGAAGAUUGCCUUUCCCAAGAAGUACAAAUAGAUCUAGUAAACCUUUUCAAUUGAUUCAUGUAGAUGUAUAGAGUCCCUAUAGAGUUCCAACUCAUGAUGGCUAUAGAUAUUUCCUUACCAUAGUUGAUGAUUAUAGUAAGAUGGUGUAGAUUUACUUGUUGAGAUUGAAAAGUGAUGUCAUUGUGUGUUUGAGACAA